GGGCAGGCCCUGUGCAACAGAGUGCUGUGAACCAUGUCAGGCGGGGAACCGAGCAGCAUUAAGCGGACAUCUCUGUGUGCCGCAGCAAGCCUGUUCCCA
Molecule: signal recognition particle RNA, 99 nt
Filed under: Oscillospiraceae bacterium
Lineage: Bacteria; Bacillati; Bacillota; Clostridia; Eubacteriales; Oscillospiraceae
Description: signal recognition particle sRNA small type
Rfam family: Bacterial small signal recognition particle RNA
About the family: The signal recognition particle (SRP) is a universally conserved ribonucleoprotein involved in the co-translational targeting of proteins to membranes. Archaeal SRP consists of a 7S RNA and homologues of the eukaryotic SRP19 and SRP54 proteins. In most bacteria, the SRP consists of a 4.5S RNA and the Ffh protein (a homologue of the eukaryotic SRP54 protein).
Source: RNAcentral